GACGAACGCUGGCGGCGGGCUUAACACAUGCAAGUCGAAGGGAAAGGCCCUGCGUGGGUGGGAAGCUGGAGUGGCGAACGGGAGGGUAACACGAGAGAAACCUGCCAUGGAGUUUGGGAUAACUUCAGUAAAUUGGUGCUAAUUCCGAUUAUGAGCUCCUGUUGCUUGAUGGGGGUUGGAACGUUUCGGCGGGUGGGGAUGGACUCGCGGCUGAUCAGCGUGUUGGUGGGGUCGCGGCUUACCAAGGCUUGGACGGGUAGCCGGCCUGAGAGGGUGACCGACCAAAUUGGGACUGAGAUACGGCACAGAGUCCUACGGGAGGCAGCAGUGGGGAAUAAUGCCCAAUGGGCGGAAGCCUGAUGCAGCAACGCCGCGUGCGGGAUGACGGCCUUCGGGUUGUAAGCCGCUUUAGCCUGUGACGAAGCGUGAGUGACGGUAAUGGGUAAAGAAGCACCGGCUAACUACGUG
This 468-nucleotide ribosomal RNA is filed under the name uncultured bacterium. RNAcentral describes it as "partial 16S ribosomal RNA". It matches the Rfam family "Bacterial small subunit ribosomal RNA", at positions 28 to 507 of the family's 1533-position model. The record is from RNAcentral.